AUUCCAGCUCCAAUAGCGUAUAUUAAAGUUGUUGCAGUUAAAAAGCUCGUAGUUGGAUUUUUGACAGGAGCGACCAUACCGGGCUUGAUUGUCCGUGUUUUGUGUUGUCUCCAGUCAUCCUCGUGGAGAGCGUUUCUGGCAUUAAUUUGUUGGAGGCGGGACCCGCGUCAUUUACUGUGAAAAAAUUAGAGUGUUUAAAGCAGGCAAUUGGCUUGAAUACAUUAGCAUGGAAUAAUAAGAUAGGACUUUGGUGCUAUUUUGUUGGUUUGCACAUCAAGGUAAUGAUUAACAGAAUCAGUCGGGGAUAUUCGUAUGCAAAUGUCAGAGGUGAAAUUCUUGGAUUUUUUACAGACGAACUACUGCGAAAGCGUUUAUCAAGGAUGUUUUCAUUG
Molecule: ribosomal RNA, 392 nt
Filed under: Labyrinthulaceae sp.
Lineage: Eukaryota; Bigyra; Labyrinthulida; Labyrinthulaceae
Description: partial small subunit ribosomal RNA
Rfam family: Eukaryotic small subunit ribosomal RNA
Source: RNAcentral